GUCCGUUUGGGACAUACAAUAAAAUUGGAAUAAUACAGAGAAGAUCAUUAUGGCCCCUAGGCAAGGAUGAUCACAAAUCGAGAAAUAGUCCAUGCUUAU
Solanum dulcamara is the source of this 99-nucleotide small nuclear RNA. Lineage: Eukaryota; Viridiplantae; Streptophyta; Magnoliopsida; Solanales; Solanaceae. The record is from RefSeq and is a predicted model, not a curated record.